GACUACCGGGGUAUCUAAUCCUGUUUGCUCCCCACGCUUUCGUGCAUGAGCGUCAGUAUUAUCCCAGGGGGCUGCCUUCGCCAUUGGUAUUCCUCCACAUCUCUACGCAUUUCACUGCUACACGUGGAAUUCUACCCCCCUCUGACAUAUUCUAGUCUUGUAGUUUCAAACGCAGUUCCCAAGUUGAGCUCGGGGAUUUCACAUCUGACUUACAAAACCGCCUGCGCACGCUUUACGCCCAGUAAUUCCGAUUAACGCUUGCACCCUACGUAUUACCGCGGCUGCUGGCACGUAGUUAGCCGGUGCUUCUUAUCAAGGUACCGUCAUUAACACAGUUUAUUCGACUGCAUCGUUUCUUCCCUUGCGAAAGAGCUUUACAACCCGAAGGCCUUCUUCACUCACGCGGAAUGGCUGGAUCAGGCUUUCGCCCAUUGUCCAAAAUUCCCCACUGCAGCCUCCCGUAGG
RNAcentral lists this ribosomal RNA (465 nucleotides) under uncultured Methylophilus sp. RNAcentral's name for it is "partial 16S ribosomal RNA". Lineage: Bacteria; Pseudomonadati; Pseudomonadota; Betaproteobacteria; Nitrosomonadales; Methylophilaceae. The record is from RNAcentral.